CACGCCCUAAACUAUGGAUACUCGACAUUUGCGAUACACUGCAAGUGUCUGAGCGAAAGCAUUAAGUAUCCCACCUGGGAAGUACGAUCGCAAGAUUGAAACUCAAAGGAAUUGGCGGGG
RNAcentral lists this ribosomal RNA (120 nucleotides) under uncultured bacterium. RNAcentral's name for it is "partial 16S ribosomal RNA". It matches the Rfam family "Bacterial small subunit ribosomal RNA", at positions 796 to 918 of the family's 1533-position model. The record is from RNAcentral.